This 396-nucleotide ribosomal RNA is filed under the name uncultured bacterium. RNAcentral's name for it is "partial 16S ribosomal RNA". It matches the Rfam family "Bacterial small subunit ribosomal RNA", at positions 523 to 918 of the family's 1533-position model. The record is from RNAcentral.
AUACGUAGGGGGCAAGCGUUAUCCGGAUUUACUGGGUGUAAAGGGAGUGUAGGUGGUCUGGCAAGUCAGAUGUGAAAGCCCGCGGCUCAACUGCGGGACUGCAUUUGAAACUGUCAGACUGGAGUGCAGGAGAGGAAAGUGGAAUUCCUAGUGUAGCGGUGAAAUGCGUAGAUAUUAGGAAGAACACCAGUGGCGAAGGCGUCUUUCUGGACUGAAACUGACACCGAGGCUCGAAAGCGUGGGGAUCAAACAGGAUUAGAUACCGUGGUAGUCCACGCCGUAAACGAUGAAUACUAGGUGUCUGGUGGCAAAGCCAUUCGGUGCCGCAGCUAACGCAAUAAGUAUUCCACCUGGGGAGUACGUUCGCAAGAAUGAGACUCAAAGGAAUUGACGGGG